AUUGAACGCUGGCGGCAUGCCUUACACAUGCAAGUCGAACGGUAACAGGUUAAGCUGACGAGUGGCGAACGGGUGAGUAAUAUAUCGGAACGUGCCCAGUCGUGGGGGAUAACGUAGCGAAAGCUACGCUAAUACCGCAUACGAUCUACGGAUGAAAGCGGGGGAUCGCAAGACCUCGCGCGAUUGGAGCGGCCGAUAUCAGAUUAGGUUGUUGGUGAGGUAAAAGCUCACCAAGCCUGCGAUCUGUAGCUGGUCUGGGAGGACGACGAGCCAAGCUGGAACUGAGACACGGGCCAGACGCCUACGGGCGGCAGCAGUGGGGAAUUUUGGACAAGGGGCGCAAGUCUGAUCCAGCAAUGCCGCGUGCAGGACGAAGGCCUUCGGGUUGUAAACUGCUUUUGUACGGAACGAAACGGUGAGCUCUAAUACAGUUUGCUAAUGACGGUACCGUAAGAAUAAGCACCGGCUAACUACGUGCCAGCCGCCGCAGUAA
Molecule: ribosomal RNA, 493 nt
Filed under: uncultured bacterium
Lineage: Bacteria
Description: partial 16S ribosomal RNA
Rfam family: Bacterial small subunit ribosomal RNA
Source: RNAcentral